Ribosomal RNA from Marmota marmota marmota (Alpine marmot), 41 nucleotides. NCBI's taxonomy places the organism in Eukaryota, Metazoa, Chordata, Mammalia, Rodentia, Sciuridae. The record is from Ensembl.
CUGAACGCGCCCGAUCUCGUCUGAUCUCGGAAGCUAAAAAG